GAUGAACGCUGGCGGCGUGCCUAAUACAUGCAAGUCGAGCGAACGGACGAGAAGCUUGCUUCUCUGAUGUUAGCGGCGGACGGGUGAGUAACACGUGGAUAACCUACCUAUAAGACUGGGAUAACUUCGGGAAACCGGAGCUAAUACCGGAUAAUAUUUUGAACCGCAUGGUUCAAUAGUGAAAGACGGUCUUGCUGUCACUUAUAGAUGGAUCCGCGCUGCAUUAGCUAGUUGGUAAGGUAACGGCUUACCAAGGCAACGAUGCAUAGCCGACCUGAGAGGGUGAUCGGCCACACUGGAACUGAGACACGGUCCAGACUCCUACGGGAGGCAGCAGUAGGGAAUCUUCGGCAAUGGGCGAAAGCCUGACGGAGCAACGCCGCGUGAGUGAUGAAGGUCUUCGGAUCGUAAAACUCUGUUAUUAGGGAAGAACAUAUGUGUAAGUAACUGUGCACAUCUUGACGGUACCUAAUCAGAAAGCCACGGCUAACUACGUG
This 497-nucleotide ribosomal RNA is filed under the name uncultured bacterium. Its description in RNAcentral is "partial 16S ribosomal RNA". It matches the Rfam family "Bacterial small subunit ribosomal RNA", at positions 28 to 507 of the family's 1533-position model. The record is from RNAcentral.